Molecule: long non-coding RNA, 451 nt
Organism: Bombina bombina (fire-bellied toad)
Lineage: Eukaryota; Metazoa; Chordata; Amphibia; Anura; Bombinatoridae
Exons: 4
Source: RefSeq, a predicted model, not a curated record
AUUCUGCGUACUUUACACGAGUGACGUCACAUCCGCAUAAAGCGUGUGCGUUGUUGCUGUAGUUUUGCUCUUUCCAGUGUUGAGACCUCAGGUCUCCUAUCCGGUAUGAGGGCCAAGUGGCGUAAGAAGCGAAUGCGCAGGCUGAAGCGUAAAAGAAGAAAGAUGAGGCAGAGGUCCAAAUAAAGACUGACCCCAGCUGCUAUUGGGCGUGUUGUGUUUUGAGCUCCUCACAAACCUUCUGUACAAACUUCAUAUCAAGUGUUGUCUUCAGAGACACCUUCUGGAUUUCUCCUGCUCAUCUUUAGAAGAUGCAGAACCGUUUUGACUGUGUUGCAGUUUUUGUAGCAGCUGUCUUAAGUUUUGCAAUAAGCUACUGUUGAAGAAACCUUGUAAUUUUGAAGAAAUGUAUACUAAUUUCAUGUCUAUUAGUAAAUAAAGCUUUCUAACUUUC